CAGUAGCCGCGGUAAUACGGAGGAUCCAAGCGUUAUCCGGAAUCAUUGGGUUUAAAGGGUCCGUAGGCGGUCUUGUAAGUCAGUGGUGAAAGCCCAUCGCUCAACGGUGGAACGGCCAUUGAUACUGCAGGACUUGAAUUAUUGGGAAGUAACUAGAAUAUGUAGUGUAGCGGUGAAAUGCUUAGAGAUUACAUGGAAUACCAAUUGCGAAGGCAGGUUACUACCAAUUGAUUGACGCUGAUGGACGAAAGCGUGGGUAGCGAACAGGAUUAGAUACCCCCGUAGUCCCUGUCUCUUAUAA
This 301-nucleotide ribosomal RNA is filed under the name uncultured bacterium. RNAcentral's name for it is "partial 16S ribosomal RNA". It matches the Rfam family "Bacterial small subunit ribosomal RNA", at positions 509 to 809 of the family's 1533-position model. The record is from RNAcentral.